GAAUCUGACAUAAAGUCACGUGUUAGCAGGUUUAAAACACUGAUAUUCAAAAUGCCUCACACAUGGACCAAUGAUCAAGAAACACGUUCCACCUGACCAAACACCUGAUAGCAUCAUUGUUGGCUCAUCAAUCAGGAUGUUAGCACUAUAAAAAGACCACAGGUGAGUACUUUCUUACAGCAACAAUGGAAGCCAUCAUGGAAGCAAGAGGAAGAGGAAGAGGAAGAGCUGGGCUGAGAGUGAGAGUGAGAGGAGGAGGAAGAGCUUGGCUGAGAGUGAGAGGAGGAGGAAGAGUACUCUCUAAUGAAAUGAAAUGUUAUCAACCAUGGUUUGACGAUGAGAGAGGCUGGACAGAGGGUUAAUCUAAGCCGAUGUACUGUUGCCUCUGUAAUCCGGACACUUAGACUUGAAAACAGGACUGAGAAACAAAGAGGUGCAGGUGGAAAGCUCAGGGUUUUCAAUGAGGCAGGAAGCAGCAGUUACAAACUGGGUUUUGGCAAACAAUGCCAUCACACUUAGAGAGAUCCAAAGCAUAUAUGUGCUGAGAUGCAUGUUGCACCAUGUUAUAUUUGAAUAAAAUAUGAUUUUU
Trematomus bernacchii (emerald rockcod) is the source of this 589-nucleotide long non-coding RNA. RefSeq lists it as uncharacterized. The transcript is spliced from 2 exons. NCBI's taxonomy places the organism in Eukaryota, Metazoa, Chordata, Actinopteri, Perciformes, Nototheniidae. The record is from RefSeq and is a predicted model, not a curated record.